GCGGAUGUAGUACAAUGGCUAGUGCUCCAGCCUUCCCAAGCUGGGAAUGCGGGUUCGAUUCCCGUCAUCCGCU
RNAcentral lists this transfer RNA (73 nucleotides) under Weissella ceti. RNAcentral's name for it is "tRNA-Gly (TCC) (tRNA-Gly-TCC-2-1)". It matches the Rfam family "tRNA". From Rfam's summary of the family: Transfer RNA (tRNA) molecules are approximately 80 nucleotides in length. Their secondary structure includes four short double-helical elements and three loops (D, anti-codon, and T loops). Further hydrogen bonds mediate the characteristic L-shaped molecular structure. tRNAs have two regions of fundamental functional importance: the anti-codon, which is responsible for specific mRNA codon recognition, and the 3' end, to which the tRNAs corresponding amino acid is attached (by aminoacyl-tRNA synthetases). tRNAs cope with the degeneracy of the genetic code in two manners: having more than one tRNA (with a specific anti-codon) for a particular amino acid; and 'wobble' base-pairing, i.e. permitting non-standard base-pairing at the 3rd anti-codon position. Lineage: Bacteria; Bacillati; Bacillota; Bacilli; Lactobacillales; Lactobacillaceae. The record is from RNAcentral.